CCUGGCCUUGACAUACUAAGAACUUUCAGAGAUGGAUUGGUGCCUUCGGGAACUUAGAUACAGGUGCUGCAUGGCUGUCGUCAGCUCGUGUCGUGAGAUGUUGGGUUAAGUCCGCAACGAGCGCAACCCUUUUCCUUAUUUGCCAGCGGGUAAUGCCGGGAACUUUUAAGGAUACUGCCAGUGACAAACUGGAGGAAGGCGGGGACGACGUCAAGUCAUCAUGGCCCUUACGGCCAGGGCUACACACGUGCUACAAUGGUCGGUACAAAGGGUUGCUACCUCGCGAGAGGAUGCUAAUCUCAAAAAGCCGAUCGUAGUCCGGAUCGCAGUCUGCAACUCGACUGCGUGAAGUCGGAAUCGCUAGUAAUCGCGGAUCAGAAUGCCGCGGUGAAUACGUUCCCGGGCCUUGUACACACCGCCCGUCACACCAUGGGAGUUUGUUGCACCAGAAGUAGGUAGUCUAACCGCAAGGAGGACGCUUACCACGGUGUGGCCGAUGACUGGGGUGAAGUCGUAACAAGGUAGGCGUAGAUGA
RNAcentral lists this ribosomal RNA (535 nucleotides) under uncultured bacterium. Its description in RNAcentral is "bacterial SSU rRNA". It matches the Rfam family "Bacterial small subunit ribosomal RNA", at positions 974 to 1509 of the family's 1533-position model. The record is from RNAcentral.